This 125-nucleotide small RNA is filed under the name Marmota monax (woodchuck). Lineage: Eukaryota; Metazoa; Chordata; Mammalia; Rodentia; Sciuridae. The record is from RNAcentral.
GUCAGGCACGGUGGCUCAUGCCUGUAAUCCCAGCAGCUCAGGAGGCUGAGGCAGGAAGAUUUUGAGUUCAAAGCCAGCCUCAGAAAAAGUGAGGUGCUAAGCAACUCAGUGAGAUCCUGUCUCUA